This 78-nucleotide non-coding RNA is filed under the name Corynebacterium pollutisoli. RNAcentral's name for it is "TPP riboswitch (THI element)". It matches the Rfam family "TPP riboswitch aptamer (THI element)", at positions 9 to 90 of the family's 105-position model. From Rfam's summary of the family: Vitamin B(1) in its active form thiamin pyrophosphate (TPP) is an essential coenzyme that is synthesised by coupling of pyrimidine and thiazole moieties in bacteria. The previously detected thiamin-regulatory element, thi box was extended, resulting in a new, highly conserved RNA secondary structure, the THI element, which is widely distributed in eubacteria and also occurs in some archaea. The record is from RNAcentral. Lineage: Bacteria; Bacillati; Actinomycetota; Actinomycetes; Mycobacteriales; Corynebacteriaceae.
UGACACGGGGUGCUGCCCACCGCGCAGCUGAGAUGACACCCGUCGAACCUGAUCCAGUUAGUACUGGCGAAGGGAAUG